Long non-coding RNA from Solenopsis invicta (red fire ant), 155 nucleotides. RefSeq lists it as uncharacterized. NCBI's taxonomy places the organism in Eukaryota, Metazoa, Arthropoda, Insecta, Hymenoptera, Formicidae. The record is from RefSeq and is a predicted model, not a curated record. The transcript is spliced from 2 exons.
GCUAAAAAGAAAAAAUUUUUUUUAAAUUUAGCUAUUGCGACUACUAUUUUGUCUGCCGUACGACUUAACAAAAAUGCUCAAAACUGUACAGACAUAGAAAUAAUAAAUUUUAUAAAAGCAUGGCUGGUUAGGAGCAAGGAUCGCUUUAAUAAUAA